This is an unclassified non-coding RNA of Cercocebus atys (sooty mangabey), 102 nucleotides long. It matches the Rfam family "Y RNA". From Rfam's summary of the family: Y RNAs are components of the Ro ribonucleoprotein particle (Ro RNP), in association with Ro60 and La proteins. The Y RNAs and Ro60 and La proteins are well conserved, but the function of the Ro RNP is not known. The record is from Ensembl. NCBI's taxonomy places the organism in Eukaryota, Metazoa, Chordata, Mammalia, Primates, Cercopithecidae.
GUCUGGUGCAAAUGCAGUGGUAUUUACAACUAAUUGAUCACAACCAGUUACAGAUUUCUUUGUUCCUUCUCCACUUCCACUGCUUUACUUGACUAGCCUUAG